This is a long non-coding RNA of Peromyscus leucopus (white-footed mouse), 1414 nucleotides long. RefSeq lists it as uncharacterized. The transcript has 5 exons. The record is from RefSeq and is a predicted model, not a curated record. NCBI's taxonomy places the organism in Eukaryota, Metazoa, Chordata, Mammalia, Rodentia, Cricetidae.
UCUGCUGCCUGCAGAUAGAUCAGGAUGUGGAACUCUCAGAUACUGUCUGGCACCGGGUCUGCCUGUGCUGAGCUUCUGCCCUGAUGACAAUGGACUAAACCUCUGAAACUGACCCAGAGGAGGAAGCCUGCUCGUAUAUCAAGUGAGAGCUGCCUGGCGACCUAGGCCCUGAUACUCAAGGCUCCUGAGGUGAAGUAGGUCAGAAAAUUAAUGUCUUCUGGUGAACAAGUAGCAGAACUCCACAAAGAAAACAGGUGGGGGCACGCCUGACUGACAUCUUGAAGGAAUCAUAGAACCAAUGUGGCUGGAGCUGAGUCAGCAAAGAAGCUUGAGUUGGACAGCCCUAACAAGAACAGCCUCACUGAGUCACCUGCCUCCACAGCUGGGGCCACUCUGAGCACACCUUCCCGACCAUCAUGGCUUCUACCCUCCAGCUGUGAGCCAGAAGGAACCCUUUCUUCUUUCAGUUGCUUUUGUGAGGUAUUUUGUCACAGCAGUGAGGAAAAGGAACUGCUUGGGAUUCCUGUUGGACAGCCAAGAGGAGGUGCCACAUCGGAAGCUGGUAUCUGGAGAGCCCGGGGCAGGGGUCCGGGCUGGCAGUAGAAACUGGGUGGGGUCAAAUCAGAGUCCCGCGAUAGAUCAGGUGUUGGCUAGGGCGUUAAAAGAGAUGAGAAGACAUAUUUGGACUGAGCCCAGGAGCCCUCAGAAGCUUUGGGAAUGGGGAAGUGGGAGUGAUUCUGUGAAGGGGAACAUUGGAUAAGAAAGGGCAGAUCAUUCUGCUGAAGCCACCUUGUGUUUUUAGGGUCACUUCUCAAAAAGAAGAGGAGGAGGAGGAGGAGGAGGGAAAAACUCUUAAGUUGUGAAAAAUAUUUGUACCAACAAACAAAUACUCUAACAUUGAAAUUCAGACCAAGAAAGAUGUUAGGAUUAAGGCAAAGGCUAGGGAUUUUAUGGUGAGAAAGAAUACAAAUUAAUGUGAAAAAUACUUAGACCCUAACAGGAAACAUACGAAGGAUAUGAACAGACAGUUCACAAAGAAGGAAGUAAAACUAGUAAACAAAGGUUUAGAAAACAUGUGACAUCAUCAACAAGGAGAGAAAUACAGAUUAAAACUACAAGAUGAUAUGUUUUCAACCAUUAAAUGAACAAAAGGCUUUUCAUGACAGUUUACCCAGUAAUUCCAGUUCAGGGAAAUCUAAGAAACUAAGUAAAAAUGUGGAUGAGAAAAUUGACCACAAUUUUAUCCACAAUUAUAGAAAAUAGUUCCAGUGCUAGCACUGAGAGACUAGCUUAGAAAAUUGUGGCGUAGUCAUACUAUUACCUGUGGUGACUUGAAUGCAAAUGGUGGCCCCAUAGGCUCAUAUAUUUGAAUGCUUAGUCACCAGGGAGUGGCACUACUUGAGAAGGAUUAAAA